This 301-nucleotide ribosomal RNA is filed under the name uncultured bacterium. RNAcentral's name for it is "partial 16S ribosomal RNA". It matches the Rfam family "Bacterial small subunit ribosomal RNA", at positions 509 to 807 of the family's 1533-position model. The record is from RNAcentral.
CAGCCGCCGCGGGAAUACGUAGGGUGCAAGCGUUAAUCGGAAUUACUGGGCGUAAAGCGUGCGCAGGCGGUUAUAUAAGACAGAUGUGAAAUCCCCGGGCUCAACCUGGGAACUGCAUUUGUGACUGUAUAGCUAGAGUACGGCAGAGGGGGAUGGAAUUCCGCGUGUAGCAGUGAAAUGCGUAGAUAUGCGGAGGAACACCGAUGGCGAAGGCAAUCCCCUGGGCCUGUACUGACGCUCAUGCACGAAAGCGUGGGGAGCAAACAGGAUUAGAUACUCCAGUAGUCCCUGUCUCUUAUAC